UAGUUUUAUAGUCAAUUAUUAAUAAUAUGAUAUUAAAUUGCAAAUUUAAAGUAGAAUUUUUCUAAGACU
Molecule: transfer RNA, 69 nt
Filed under: Gunungiella wangi
Lineage: Eukaryota; Metazoa; Arthropoda; Insecta; Trichoptera; Philopotamidae
Description: tRNA-Cys
Source: RNAcentral